CCUACGGGAGGCUGCAGUGGGGAAUAUUGCGCAAUGGGCGAAAGCCUGACGCAGCGACGCCGCGUGAGGGAUGAAGGUCUUCGGAUCGUAAACCUCUGUUAGCAGGGAAGAACGGUCCCUGUUCUAAUCAGCAGUGAAUUGACGGUACCUGCAAAGGAAGCACCGGCUAACCCCGUGCCAGCAGCCGCGGUAAGACGGAGGGUGCGAGCGUUAAUCGGAAUUACUGGGCGUAAAGCGCUCGUAGGCGGUAUGUCAAGUCAAGGGUGAAAUCCCCGCGCUCAACGUGGGAACUGCAUUUGACACUGGCAGACUGGAGUGUGUGAGAGGAUAGUGGAAUUCCAGGUGUAGGAGUGAAAUCCGUAGAUAUCUGGAGGAACAUCAGUGGCGAAGGCGACUAUCUGGCACAUAACUGACGCUGAGGAGCGAAAGCGUGGGUAGCAAACAGGAUUAGAUACCCUUGUAGUC
RNAcentral lists this ribosomal RNA (465 nucleotides) under uncultured bacterium. Its description in RNAcentral is "partial 16S ribosomal RNA". It matches the Rfam family "Bacterial small subunit ribosomal RNA", at positions 338 to 795 of the family's 1533-position model. The record is from RNAcentral.